RNAcentral lists this ribosomal RNA (253 nucleotides) under uncultured bacterium. RNAcentral's name for it is "partial 16S ribosomal RNA". It matches the Rfam family "Bacterial small subunit ribosomal RNA", at positions 524 to 776 of the family's 1533-position model. The record is from RNAcentral.
UACGUAGGGUGCAAGCGUUAAACGGAAUUAUUGGGCGUAAAGGGCUCGUAGGCGGUUUGUCGCGUCGGGAGUGAAAUCCACUGGCUUAACUGGUGGCUUGCUUUCGAUACGGGCAGACUGGAGGUAUGCAGGGGAGAACGGAAUUCCUGGUGUAGCGGUGAAAUGCGCAGAUAUCAGGAGGAACACCGGUGGCGAAGGCGGUUCUCUGGGCAUGUCCUGACGCUGAGGAGCGAAAGUGUGGGGAGCGAACAGG